UAACCCUACAGUUCUUCUCCGCCACCUCACCAUUCACCGCACAGUCUCAGCCUCUCACUUCUCUCAUCGUCUGUCUCGCAAUUCGAAGACACGGCAUCAACGCUUCUCUUUGCUCCGCGACUCCGAUUCUCUUCGCUCCGCGUCUCCGCUUCUUCUCCCUCGGCGUCUCUGCUUCUCCUGGCUCGACGUCUCCGCCACUUGUCCCUCGGUGUCUCCACUUCUCCUCCCGCAGCGUUCUCAUCGUCUCUCCUCCAUUGCACUCAUCGGCUUGCGCCAGUUGCCCUCAGUGCUUUCGAGUUCAAAACCCUCUCAGCAUACCUGCGAGGCAAACCAUCAAACAGGUUUGCAAACGGGCAUAUCAGGAUUAAAUAAGAUGGUAGCUACCAUUUUUUAAAUAAUUUCAAUUAGUAGAUUAAAGGUGUAAAAUCAGGAAAAUAGAAAACAGGAAUACAUACAAAAAAAAAUAAACA
RNA transcript from Ipomoea nil (Japanese morning glory), 470 nucleotides. RefSeq lists it as uncharacterized. Lineage: Eukaryota; Viridiplantae; Streptophyta; Magnoliopsida; Solanales; Convolvulaceae. The record is from RefSeq and is a predicted model, not a curated record. The transcript has 3 exons.